CCUACGGGAGGCAGCAGUGGGGAAUAUUGCACAAUGGGGGAAACCCUGAUGCAGCGACGCCGCGUGAGUGAAGAAGUAUUUCGGUAUGUAAAGCUCUAUCAGCAGGGAAGAAAUAAAGUCCUUCGGACGUUGGACGGGACGUGACGAAGAAGCCCCGGCUAACUACGUGCCAGCAGCCGCGGGAAUACGUAGGGGGCAAGCGUUAUCCGGAAUUACUGGGUGUAAAGGGAGAGUAGGAGGCAAGGUAAGCGAUAUGUGAAAGCCUUAGGCUUAACCGGAGGAUUGCAUAACGAACUAUCUAGCUAGAGUACAGGAGCGGAAAGCGGAAUUCCUAGUGUAGCGGUGAAAUGCGUAGAUAUUAGGAAGAACACCAGUGGCGAAGGCGGCUUUCUGGACUGAAACUGACGCUGAGGCUCGAAAGCGUGGGGAGCGAACAGGAUUAGAUACCCUGGUAGUC
This 457-nucleotide ribosomal RNA is filed under the name uncultured bacterium. RNAcentral describes it as "partial 16S ribosomal RNA". It matches the Rfam family "Bacterial small subunit ribosomal RNA", at positions 338 to 795 of the family's 1533-position model. The record is from RNAcentral.